CCGCCGCCGGGAUGAUUUUCUCUUUCGGCUCUCCGCGAUCCUCUGACAAUUGGAAUCUUUUGUUUUUUAUUUACGAGAAAGGAAACAACCACGAUUAAUAUUACCGUCACUGUACACUUUUUUUUUUUUAAAUUUGGCAUCGUUGAGCGGCGAAGAAGAAGAGGAGGAGGAUGAUGAUGAUGAUGAUGAUGAUGACGAUGAUAUGCGCGAAACGAUUUCGCGGGCCGAAGUUCGCUACUCACGCCAGCAUGCGCUCGACUUCGGCGCGCUGCUCGGCGGCCUCCUCGGUGUCGAGCGACUGCAGCUCCUUGAGGAUGGGCGGCGUGUCGUAGUCGUCGCCGUCCUCCGAGCCCUCGUCGCCGGACAGCUUGGCGGCGGGCUUGCCGUCGCCGUCCCGACGCGG
Molecule: long non-coding RNA, 403 nt
Organism: Phyllopteryx taeniolatus (common seadragon)
Lineage: Eukaryota; Metazoa; Chordata; Actinopteri; Syngnathiformes; Syngnathidae
Exons: 2
Source: RefSeq, a predicted model, not a curated record